UUAUCAUAUCCUUCAUUUAUUCUUCUCUCAGAAAUGAAAAAAAGACAAAACAAAACCCAAAACAGACAAAACAAACAAGAAGCAAAGAACAAAAGAAGCUGGAAGAAAGGAUUGAUGAUGAAGUACAGGAAUGGAGAAAUGUGCUAUGAAGCACGGAGAAAAGCAUUCCAGCUAAAUGAAAGGGAAAUACUGAAUGAAAGAUGGGAAUGCAGGGUAAGCAUGAAGAAAUGGUCAGAACUGGAUACCAAGGCAGAGGAAUUGAGCUCCCAGCUGGAGAGCAGUUGGAACACCUAAGAGCUCACUGUAGUUGCAGAUACACAAGCAAUUACAAUCCAGCAACAUGGUGAGUGUACGAUAAAUGGAAUUAUAGAAUAUCAUUCCAGGGUAGAAUUGGAAGGCUCUCCCCCAGGUGGAGAAGAUUAAAAGGCAAUGAUAUGGAUGUCUUUUUGGAGGAUAUUAAACAUGAUCAUUAAAAAGAGUCUAUCAGGAUUUCCCUGAUGGCCCAGUGGUUAAGACUCCAUGGUUCUACUGCAGGGGGCACAGGCUUGAUCCCUGGUCAGGGAAGUUCUACAUGGUGUGGCAAAAAAAAAAAAAAAGUCCAUCAAUCUAGUGCCAGAAUUAUUAAUUCUCACCUCUCCCCAUUUCAGGAGAAGACAAUGGCAACCCACUCCAGUACUCUUGCCUGGAAAAUCCCAUGGACGGAAAAGCCUGGUAGGCUGCAGUCCAUGGGGUCACGAAGAGUCAGACACGACUGAACGACUUCACUUUCACUUUUCACUUUCAUGCAUUGGAGAAGGAAAUGGCAACCCACUCCAGUGUUCUUGCCUUGAGAAUUCCAGGGACAGGGGAGCCUGGUGGGUUGCCAUCUAUGGGGUCGCACAGAGUCAGACAUUACUGAAGUAACUUAGCAGCAGCAGCAGCUCUCCCAUUUCAAACAUAUUUCUUCCUUAUUGAACCUAAUUACACCAUUAUUCUUUUAGUUGCUAAAGUAAAAAAUCUAGGAGUCCUAGGAAGAGGCAGAAGGAAUUCUUUAGGAUUGGUAGAAAUAUUCAGUAUUCCUAUACUGUGGUUUGUUCACAGGUGUAUACAUCUGUCUACUUGCAUCCAGUUGAGCACUUUAAAAUGGUAAAGUUUAAUCAAUAAAGUUGAUUGAAAAUCUAGAAGUUAUCCUUGA
Molecule: long non-coding RNA, 1174 nt
Filed under: Bos indicus x Bos taurus (hybrid cattle)
Lineage: Eukaryota; Metazoa; Chordata; Mammalia; Artiodactyla; Bovidae
Description: lncRNA (ENSBIXG00000029350.1)
Source: RNAcentral